CAGCAGCCGCGGGAAUACGUAGGUGGCAAGCGUUGUCCGGAAUUAUUGGGCGUAAAGGGCUCGCAGGCGGUUUCUUAAAUCUGAUGUGAAAGCCCCCGGCUCAACCGGGGAGGGUCAUUGGAAACUGGGAAACUUGAGUGCAGAAGAGGAGAGUGGAAUUCCACGUGUAGCGGUGAAAUGCGUAGAGAUGUGGAGGAACACCAGUGGCGAAGGCGACUCUCUGGUCUGUAACUGACGCUGAGGAGCGAAAGCGUGGGGAGUGAACAGGAUUAGAUACCCCGGUAGUCCCUGUCUCUUAUAC
Molecule: ribosomal RNA, 301 nt
Filed under: uncultured bacterium
Lineage: Bacteria
Description: partial 16S ribosomal RNA
Rfam family: Bacterial small subunit ribosomal RNA
Source: RNAcentral